AGCAGCGUGGCUCAGUGGAAAGAGCCUGGGCUUGGGAGCCAGAGGUCAUGGGUUCAAAUCCUGGCUCUGCCA
RNAcentral lists this transfer RNA (72 nucleotides) under Ornithorhynchus anatinus (platypus). It matches the Rfam family "tRNA". Rfam says of the family: Transfer RNA (tRNA) molecules are approximately 80 nucleotides in length. Their secondary structure includes four short double-helical elements and three loops (D, anti-codon, and T loops). Further hydrogen bonds mediate the characteristic L-shaped molecular structure. tRNAs have two regions of fundamental functional importance: the anti-codon, which is responsible for specific mRNA codon recognition, and the 3' end, to which the tRNAs corresponding amino acid is attached (by aminoacyl-tRNA synthetases). tRNAs cope with the degeneracy of the genetic code in two manners: having more than one tRNA (with a specific anti-codon) for a particular amino acid; and 'wobble' base-pairing, i.e. permitting non-standard base-pairing at the 3rd anti-codon position. The record is from Rfam by way of RNAcentral. Lineage: Eukaryota; Metazoa; Chordata; Mammalia; Monotremata; Ornithorhynchidae.